Molecule: ribosomal RNA, 447 nt
Filed under: uncultured bacterium
Lineage: Bacteria
Description: SSU rRNA
Rfam family: Bacterial small subunit ribosomal RNA
Source: RNAcentral
AGAACGAACGCUGGCGGCAUGCCUAACACAUGCAAGUCGAACGCGUGUAGCGAUACACGAGUGGCGGACGGGUGAGUAACGCGUGGGAACCUGCCCUGGAGUGUGGGAUAACCGAGGGAAACUUCGGCUAAUACCGCAUACGACCUGAGGGUGAAAGAUUUAUCGCUCUAGGAGGGGCCCGCGUCGGAUUAGCUAGUUGGUGGGGUAAAGGCCUACCAAGGCAGUGAUCCGUAGCUGGUCUGAGAGGAUGAUCAGCCACACUGGGACUGAGACACGGCCCAGACUCCUACGGGAGGCAGCAGUGGGGAAUAUUGGACAAUGGGGGGCAACCCUGAUCCAGCAAUGCCGCGUGAGUGAUGAAGGCCUUAGGGUUGUAAAGCUCUUUCGCGCGCGACGAUGAUGACGGUAGCGCGAGAAGAGCCCGGCUAACUUCGUGCCAGCAGCCGC